AUGCAUGUCUAAGCACAGGCCUUAACACGGUGAAGCUGCGAAUGGCUCAUUAGAUCGGCUAUUAUUUAUUAGAUCAUACCUAGUUACUUGGAUAACUGUGGUAAUUCUAGAGCUAAUACAUGCAACACGGCUCCGACCUCCGGGGAAGAGCGAGUUUAUUAGAUCAAAACCAAUCGGGUCUCGGCCCGCCACUUGGUGACUCUGGAUAACUUUGGUCUGAUCGCAUAGCCUCGCGCUGGCGACGUAUCUUUCAAGUGUCCGCCCUAUCAACUUUCGUCGGUACGUGACCUGCCUACCGAGGUUGUUACGGGUAACGGGGAAUCAGGGUUCGAUUCCGGAGAGGGAGCAUGAGAAACGGCUACCACA
Molecule: ribosomal RNA, 366 nt
Filed under: Aspidosiphonidae sp. USNM IZ 1449803
Lineage: Eukaryota; Metazoa; Annelida; Sipuncula; Aspidosiphonidormes; Aspidosiphonidae
Also listed under: 1 other name
Description: SSU rRNA
Rfam family: Eukaryotic small subunit ribosomal RNA
Source: RNAcentral